CCUGGGUCUUGUUCAUGGAUAUGGUUCUCGUUUCUCCCUCCAACAGCUCGCGGGUGAAGACAGUGUAGUUGACGAUGUCGCCAUUGGUCCUCACCGGAGGGUCCCAGCUCACGGAGAUCUCCCGAGGGCCCCUGGUGUGCAGUGUGGCGGGCUGCAGGCCGGCGGGCGCAGAGGGGCUGGUUCGCUCUUUGACUAGCGGACUGGAAACGGCCCCUUGGGAGUUGGUGGCCGUUACCGUGUGGCCGUACUCCGCCCCCGGGGCGAGCCCAGUGGGAUCGUGAUAGCGCCUUUCCAGGCCGGUGUACUCCAGGGCUCCGUCCCUCCUGAGCUCGUAGCUCGGGAUCCGGCCGUUUGGGCUUCGGGGGGGUUCCCAGGUGACCUCUAUGGACUGGGCGCCUGUCACCUGCAGCGCGGGGGGAGCCAUGGCCUCCGGCGGGGCCUCCAUGGUCCGGGCGGCCCUGGGCGCACUAGCCACGCACCCCCCGCCCGUGCAGGCCACGGGGGAGAAGCGGUGGCGCGUGCAGGGCAGCAGGAAGAAAGGAAAGGCAUUCAAAUCCCCUAUUGUAUGGACACUGUGGGCGUACGGUCUCAUCCUCACUAGG
Molecule: long non-coding RNA, 602 nt
Filed under: Heterocephalus glaber (naked mole-rat)
Lineage: Eukaryota; Metazoa; Chordata; Mammalia; Rodentia; Bathyergidae
Description: lncRNA (ENSHGLG00000050119.1)
Source: RNAcentral